RNAcentral lists this ribosomal RNA (484 nucleotides) under uncultured bacterium. RNAcentral describes it as "partial 16S ribosomal RNA". It matches the Rfam family "Bacterial small subunit ribosomal RNA", at positions 30 to 507 of the family's 1533-position model. The record is from RNAcentral.
AUUGAACGCUGGCGGCAGGCCUAACACAUGCAAGUCGAGCGGAUGAAGGGAGCUUGCUCCUGGAUUCAGCGGCGGACGGGUGAGUAAUGCCUAGGAAUCUGCCUGGUCGUGGGGGAUAACGUCCGGAAACGGGCGCUAAUACCGCAUACGCCCUGAGGGAGAAAGUGGGGGAUCUUCGGACCUCACGCUAUCAGAUGAGCCUAGGUCGGAUUAGCUAGUUGGUGGGGUAAAGGCCUACCAAGGCGACGAUCCGUAACUGGCCUGAGAGGAUGAUCAGUCACACUGGAACUGAGACACGGUCCAGACUCCUACGGGAGGCAGCAGUGGGGAAUAUUGGACAAUGGGCGAAAGCCUGAUCCAGCCAUGCCGCGUGUGUGAAGAAGGUCUUCGGAUUGUAAAGCACUUUAAGUUGGGAGGAAGGGCAGUAAGUUAAUACCUUGCUGUUUUGACGUUACCAACAGAAUAAGCACCGGCUAACUUCGUG